UCGGGAAUUUUGGGCAAUGGGCGAAAGCCUGACCCAGCAACGCCGCGUGAAGGAUGAAGUAUUUCGGUAUGUAAACUUCGUAAGAAUAGGAAGAAUAAAUGACGGUACUAUUUGUAAGGUCCGGCUAACUACGUGCCAGCAGCCGCGGUAAUACGUAGGGUGCAAGCGUUAAUCGGAAUUACUGGGCGUAAAGGGCGCGUAGGCGGCAAUUCAAGUCAUCUGUGAAAUCUCCGGGCUUAACUCGGAACGGUCAGAUGAUACUGCUUUGCUAGAGUGCAGAAGGGGCAAUCGGAAUUCUUGGUGUAGCUAGUGAAAUGCGUAGAUAUGUGGAGGAAUACCGAUGGCGAAGGCAGCCCCCUGGGAUAACACUGACGCUCAUGCACGAAAGCGUGGGGAGCAAACAGGAUUAGAUACCCGAGUAGUCCCUGAGCGGGCUGGCAAGGCGCAU
This 448-nucleotide ribosomal RNA is filed under the name uncultured bacterium. Its description in RNAcentral is "bacterial SSU rRNA". It matches the Rfam family "Bacterial small subunit ribosomal RNA", at positions 355 to 825 of the family's 1533-position model. The record is from RNAcentral.